This 478-nucleotide ribosomal RNA is filed under the name uncultured bacterium. RNAcentral describes it as "partial 16S ribosomal RNA". It matches the Rfam family "Bacterial small subunit ribosomal RNA", at positions 28 to 507 of the family's 1533-position model. The record is from RNAcentral.
GAUGAACGCUGGCGGCGUGCCUAACACAUGCAAGUCGAACGGAGUCCAGCCUUAGAGACCUUCGGGUCAAAGAGGGGAAGACUGAGUGGCGGACGGGUGAGUAACACGUGGGCAACCUGGCUCAUAGAGGGGGAUAACAGAGAGAAAUUUCUGCUAAUACCGCAUAAGCACACACUGCCGCAUGGCAGAGUGUGAAAAGAGAAUCGCUAUGAGAUGGACCCGCGUCUGAUUAGCCAGUUGGCAGGGUAAGAGCCUACCAAAGCGACGAUCAGUAGCCGAUUUGAGAGGAUGAACGGCCACAUUGGGACUGAGACACGGCCCAAACUCCUACGGGAGGCAGCAGUGGGGGAUAUUGCACAAUGGGGGGAACCCUGAUGCAGCGACGCCGCGUGAGUGAAGAAGUAUUUCGGGAUGUAAAGCUCUAUCAGCAGGGAAGAUAAUGGCAGUACCUGAAUAAGAAGCCCCGGCUAACUACGUG